Molecule: ribosomal RNA, 253 nt
Filed under: uncultured bacterium
Lineage: Bacteria
Description: partial 16S ribosomal RNA
Rfam family: Bacterial small subunit ribosomal RNA
Source: RNAcentral
UACGAAGGGGGCUAGCGUUGUUCGGAAUCACUGGGCGUAAAGGGCGCGUAGGCGGCCGCUUAAGUCGGGGGUGAAAGCCUGUGGCUUAACCACAGAAUUGCCUUCGAUACUGUUUGGCUUGAGACCGGAAGAGGUUAGUGGAACUGCGAGUGUAGAGGUGAAAUUCGUAGAUAUUCGCAAGAACACCAGUGGCGAAGGCGGCUGACUGGUCCGGUUCUGACGCUGAGGCGCGAAAGCGUGGGGAGCAAACAGG